GACGAACGCUGGCGGCGUGCUUAACACAUGCAAGUCGAACGGAAAGGCCCUGCUUUUGUGGGGUGCUCGAGUGGCGAACGGGUGAGUAACACGUGAGUAACCUGCCCUUGACUUUGGGAUAACUUCAGGAAACUGGGGCUAAUACCGGAUAGGAGCUCCUGCUGCAUGGUGGGGGUUGGAAAGUUUCGGCGGUUGGGGAUGGACUCGCGGCUUAUCAGCUUGUUGGUGGGGUAGUGGCUUACCAAGGCUUUGACGGGUAGCCGGCCUGGGAGGGUGACCGGCCACAUUGGGACUGAGAGACGGCCCAGACUCCUACGGGAGGCAGCAGUGGGGAAUAUUGCACAAUGGGCGGAAGCCUGAUGCAGCAACGCCGCGGUCGUGAUGACGGCCUUCGGGUUGUAAACCGCUUUCGCCUGUGACGAAGCGUGAGUGACGGUAAUGGGUAAAGAAGCACCGGCUAACUACGUG
Molecule: ribosomal RNA, 468 nt
Filed under: uncultured bacterium
Lineage: Bacteria
Description: partial 16S ribosomal RNA
Rfam family: Bacterial small subunit ribosomal RNA
Source: RNAcentral